Molecule: ribosomal RNA, 428 nt
Filed under: uncultured bacterium
Lineage: Bacteria
Description: bacterial SSU rRNA
Rfam family: Bacterial small subunit ribosomal RNA
Source: RNAcentral
AGUGGGGAAUUUUCCGCAAUGGGCGAAAGCCUGACGGAGUGACGCCGCGUGGGGGACGAAGGCCUUCGGGUCGUAAACCCCUGUCAGAGGGAAAGAAGGGUCAUGUGGCUAAUAUCCACGUGAUCUGACGGUACCUUCAGAGGAAGCCCCGGCCAACUCUGUGCCAGCAGCCGCGGUAAGACAGAGGGGGCAAGCGUUGCUCGGAAUCACUGGGCGUAAAGGGCGCGUAGGCGGGAUGGCAAGUCAGUCGUGAAAUCUCUCGGCUCAACCGAGAAACGUCGGCUGAUACUGCCGUUCUUGAGGGAUGCAGAGGAGACUGGAAUUCCCGGUGUAGCGGUGAAAUGUGUAGAGAUCGGGAGGAACACCGGUGGCGAAGGCGGGUCUCUGGGCAUUUCCUGACGCUGAGGCGCGAAAGCGUGGGGAGCAAA